This 1244-nucleotide ribosomal RNA is filed under the name Megalonchos shawae. RNAcentral describes it as "partial 28S large subunit ribosomal RNA". It matches the Rfam family "Eukaryotic large subunit ribosomal RNA", at positions 81 to 790 of the family's 3401-position model. The record is from RNAcentral. Lineage: Eukaryota; Metazoa; Platyhelminthes; Cestoda; Tetraphyllidea; Onchobothriidae.
UAGUAACGGCGAGUGAAGAGGGAAAAGCCCAGCACCGAAGCCUGCGGCAGUUUUGCUGUUAGGCAAUGUGGUGUAUAGGUCGGCUAGCGGGAUCGCUACUCCACUCGAAGUCCAGCAUUGAGUAUGGUCACUGGAUUUGGCCCAUAGAGGGUGAAAGGCCCGUACGGGUGGAGGUGCAGAAAUGUAAAGCGAUUCACCAGGCCGGCCUUAGAGUCGGGUUGUUUGAGAAUGCAGCCCAAAGAGGGUGGUAAACUCCAUCCAAGGCUAAAUACUGACACGAGUCCGAUAGCGAACAAGUACCGUGAGGGAAAGUUGAAAAGUACUCUGAAGAGAGAGUAAACAGUACGUGAAGCCGCAUGCAGGUAAACGGGUGGCGUCAAGCUGCUAUCCUGGAGAAUUCAGCUGGUUAGGGUGUCGACGCGCCUGCGCGUCCAGCAGCCAGAAUAAGAUGUAUCAGUCUACUGGGACACAGUGGGCCUGACCUUCGGGUUGGGUAUGCGUACCGAGCGGUUGCCGGACAUACUGUUCAUCUGUUGGGCUGUCUAGCCAGUGCACUUUCUCUAUGGUGAACACCACGACCGGUGGAAUUGCCAGUCUGCUGUGGUCAAGUCGUGUCCGGUAGGUCCUCGUGACUGGCUGGAUGCGAUCACAGGCAAUUUCAGCUAACGGCGUAGAGGUGCCUCGGUACUUCUGCGUGUUAUCGGCGGCUGGUUGUCGACGGACUGCCAUUGAUGACGGUUGCAACUGUUGUCUGGUGGUUCGGUGGGCCAUGGUGGUAUGAAUAACUGUGCAAGGCAUCGGGGUUAACGGCUUCAAUCGCAGUCAGCGCCCACUUGCAAGUGGUAGGGGUGCCGUUGCGGCCUGCCUGUGGCAGAGUCUGAUUGUCGUGUCGCCUGCGCAAAGUGGGCCCGGCAGUGGCUUAGCCUAGGUUGGGUAGCGUAUGGUGCCUCGUGUGUUGAUUGCCGUGGGCCUAAUAGUCAGUGGUGCUGUGGUAGACGAGCUACCCGACCCGUCUUGAAACACGGACCAAGGAGUUUAACAUGUAUGCGAGUCACUGGGUCCUACGAAACCCAAAGGCGCAAUGAAAGUAAAGCUUCGACUUGUCUCGGAGUGAGGUGAGAUCCUGCUGUUUCGCAUCAGCCGUUGUGUCAGCAUCAGGCUAAGAGCAGUGGGCGCAUCACCGGCCCGCCCCAUGGUGUGGAUAAUGGAAGUCUGCGGUCGUUGCUUGCAGCGGCUGAGGUGCC